UGUGUCACAGUACAGAAUGAACGUUUCGAUAUGAAAUUUCAAGGAAAUAAAAUUUCACGCAUUUAUUGUUGAUCAUUUUUGGAGGGGGAGUUCCGUUUUUCGUUCGCCAAACAAACAUCAAUCAUCCGGCUGCCUGGGCUCAAAUGUAUUUUCCGUAGAGCUUCCAUGAGUACUUUUCGGGUAACAGAUUCGCGGGAGUUGAUGUGUGAACAAUAUGAAGUUUCAGCUCGUCGAGCUGGGGCGACAGAUAAUACAUCGCGAGGUCCACUGAGUUCCAAGUCAUCAUUUUACACCACAUUCAUGAAAUUUCAUAAGAAAUGAUUUGUGUCGUAGUACUUUUGUAAUGGAAAAUGUUCUAAUUACCGGCAUUUUUCA
This is a long non-coding RNA of Bradysia coprophila, 375 nucleotides long. The record is from RefSeq and is a predicted model, not a curated record. NCBI's taxonomy places the organism in Eukaryota, Metazoa, Arthropoda, Insecta, Diptera, Sciaridae.